AAAAAGAUAAAAUGAUCUUUAAAAUUAAUCUUUUAAAAAUACUAAAAUCAAAGGUGUUUGAUCAACAUCAAGUAUAAUUUUUAAAAUCAGUCCAAAAUCUUUCCGAACAAAAAUGAAUCGCUUAACAUCCAUUAACCUUUACAAAUAAAAUAAAAUCAAGUCAUUCCGCAAUCGUUUUCAAAAUUAACUGGGUCAACACCAAACCCUUUUUGUUA
This 215-nucleotide long non-coding RNA is filed under the name Lathyrus oleraceus (garden pea). RNAcentral's name for it is "Pisum sativum (pea) long non-coding RNA (PSAT_LNC035799)". The record is from RNAcentral. Lineage: Eukaryota; Viridiplantae; Streptophyta; Magnoliopsida; Fabales; Fabaceae.